UACGGAGGGUGCAAGCGUUGCUCGGAAUCACUGGGCGUAAAGGGCGUGUAGGCGGUUUCGUAUGUCUGGCGUGAAAGCCCCGGGCUCAACCCGGGAAGUGCGUUGGAAACUGCGAAACUAGAGUCUCGGAGAGGAAGGUGGAAUUCCAGGUGUAGCGGUGAAAUGCGUAGAUAUCUGGAAGAACACCGGGUGGCGAAGGCGGCCUUCUGGACGAUGACUGGACGCUGAGACGCGAAAGCGUGGGGAGCAAACAGG
RNAcentral lists this ribosomal RNA (255 nucleotides) under uncultured bacterium. RNAcentral's name for it is "partial 16S ribosomal RNA". It matches the Rfam family "Bacterial small subunit ribosomal RNA", at positions 524 to 776 of the family's 1533-position model. The record is from RNAcentral.